This is a long non-coding RNA of Anneissia japonica, 286 nucleotides long. RefSeq lists it as uncharacterized. The transcript is spliced from 3 exons. Lineage: Eukaryota; Metazoa; Echinodermata; Crinoidea; Comatulida; Comatulidae. The record is from RefSeq and is a predicted model, not a curated record.
GCAAUACUGUAUUUGGCUUGAAUGUAAAAGAACUAAGAAAUAAGGAGCGGUGUAUUCAGAAUGCUACAGAUACGUCAUGGAUUCUUCAAAUGAAUGACACUGAAGCUGGAAUUUCUCAAAAUUAUCCUGUAAAAUGUCAGCAAGGCUGCCAGCAUUGCAAUGAUGAAUCCCUUCGACCAUAUCCUCCACAAGAGAUUACUUACAGAUCAACGACUGGAUCAGACUUGUGUGUCAGAUGGAAAGGAAAUGUGUCAACAAAUUAUACAAUGUAUUAUAGUCAAGGAAG